This is a long non-coding RNA of Nomascus leucogenys (northern white-cheeked gibbon), 395 nucleotides long. RefSeq lists it as uncharacterized. Lineage: Eukaryota; Metazoa; Chordata; Mammalia; Primates; Hylobatidae. The record is from RefSeq and is a predicted model, not a curated record. The transcript is spliced from 2 exons.
CUAUGAUGUGGAGGCCAUGGCUCCACUGGACUCACGAGGAGACUGAGGCUCAGAGCAAUGAAGUGACCUGCUCAAAGUUAAGGAGCUUCAGGGAAGACCCAAUUUUUUCUGAUCCUAAGGUCACUAUCCUUAAUCCCUCUCCCUGUGGGGUCUUCCCUAUCUUGAGCCUGUGGACAGCUGUGCAGUGGCAAGAGAAAGGCCUUCAGAACUAUGCAGACCUGGCUUCAAGUCCCAGCCUUCCUGAUGAGCCCUGGUGGUCUUGCAUGCUUACCCUUGGGACUCAGACACCAUAUUGUGAGGAAGCCCAAGCUACAUGCAGAGGCCACUAUAGUUGUUCUGGCCAACAGCCCAAGCUUCAGCUACCAGACAUAUGAAUAAACCAACUCUUCAGAUGA